AUUGAACGCUGGCGGCAGGCCUAACACAUGCAAGUCGAGCGGAUGAAGGGAGCUUGCUCCUGGAUUCAGCGGUGGACGGGUGAGUAAUGCCUAGGAAUCUGCCUGGUAGUGGGGGAUAACGUGCGGAAACGGGAGCUAAUACCGCAUACGUCCUGAGGGAGAAAGUGGGGGAGCUUCGGACCUCACGCUAUCAGAUGAGCCUAGGUCGGAUUAGCUAGGUGGUGGGGUAAAGGCCUACAAAGGCGACGAUCCGUAACUGGUCUGAGAGGAUGAUCAGUCACACUGGAACUGAGACACGGUCCAGACUCCUACGGGAGGCAGCAGUGGGGAAUAUUGGACAAUGGGCGAAAGCCUGAUCCAGCCAUGCCGCGUGUGUGAAGAAGGUCUUCGGAUUGUAAAGCACUUUAAGUUGGGAGGAAGGGCAGUAAGUUUAUCCCUUGCUGUUUUGACGUUACCAACAGAAUAAGCACCGGCUAACUUCGUG
Molecule: ribosomal RNA, 484 nt
Filed under: uncultured bacterium
Lineage: Bacteria
Description: partial 16S ribosomal RNA
Rfam family: Bacterial small subunit ribosomal RNA
Source: RNAcentral